Molecule: long non-coding RNA, 249 nt
Organism: Arachis duranensis
Lineage: Eukaryota; Viridiplantae; Streptophyta; Magnoliopsida; Fabales; Fabaceae
Exons: 3
Source: RefSeq, a predicted model, not a curated record
AAUUUGCUGUAGUCACACUACUUUUGUGGUUGGGCUUGCAAGGCUCAUAACUAUGAUAAAAUUAUAUUCUAAGCUCUAUGAAUGUUGGUGAUAUAUCAUAUAUUAUUUCAUGCAGAGCACAUUUCACAUUUUAAUGAAGAGGCACACUCUCCAUACAUCAAGAAGUAGAAGACCAUCAUGCAUCCAGGAGAGGUACAAAGGAUUCAAAUAGUACGUGCUUUAUAUCAAGAUCAUGAUAUAUAUAUCUAU